AUUGAACGCUGGCGGCAGGCUUAACACAUGCAAGUCGAGCGGGGGAAGGUAGCUUGCUACUGGACCUAGCGGCGGACGGGUGAGUAAUGCUUAGGAAUCUGCCUAUUAGUGGGGGACAACAUCUCGAAAGGGAUGCUAAUACCGCAUACGUCCUACGGGAGAAAGCAGGGGAUCUUCGGACCUCGCGCUAAUAGAUGAGCCUAAGUCGGAUUAGCUAGUUGGUGGGGUAAAGGCCUACCAAGGCGACGAUCUGCAGCGGGUCUGAGAGGCUGAUCCGCCACACUGGGACUGAGACACGGCCCAGACUCCUACGGGAGGCAGCAGUGGGGAAUAUUGGACAAUGGGGGGAACCCUGAUCCAGCCAUGCCGCGUGUGUGAAGAAGGCCUUAUGGUUGUAAAGCACUUUAAGCGAGGAGGAGGCUACUCUAGUUAAUACCUAGGGAUAGUGGACGUUACUCGCAGAAUAAGCACCGGCUAACUCUGUGCCAGCAGCCGCCGUAA
RNAcentral lists this ribosomal RNA (501 nucleotides) under uncultured bacterium. Its description in RNAcentral is "partial 16S ribosomal RNA". It matches the Rfam family "Bacterial small subunit ribosomal RNA", at positions 30 to 523 of the family's 1533-position model. The record is from RNAcentral.